UACGUAGGGGGCAAGCGUUGUCCGGAAUCAUUGGGCGUAAAGCGCGUGUAGGCGGCCUUGUAAGUCCGUUCUGAAAGUCCGGGGCUCAACCCCGGGAGGCGGAUGGAUACUGCAAGGCUCGAGUCCGGAAGAGGCAAGUGGAAUUCCCGGUGUAGCGGUGAAAUGCGCAGAUAUCGGGAGGAACACCAAUGGCGAAGGCAGCUUGCUGGGACGGUACUGACGCUGAGACGCGAAAGCGUGGGGAGCGAACAGG
This 253-nucleotide ribosomal RNA is filed under the name uncultured bacterium. RNAcentral describes it as "partial 16S ribosomal RNA". It matches the Rfam family "Bacterial small subunit ribosomal RNA", at positions 524 to 776 of the family's 1533-position model. The record is from RNAcentral.